GAUUUUUGAUAGGGGCUUUUUGAUAUGUGUAUAACCAAUACUUUAUUCUCACUGUAGUCAAGGACUUAUUACAAUUCGGAAAUGAGAAGCUGAUCCGGAACUCCACUACAGGUGGUCUUUUUAAAAAGAUCUCUCACAAAAAGAAAGAAGUUUAUGCUCCUCAUGCCUAAAAUCUGUUGGCUGACACUUUGUUCUUUAAUUUCGCCAGCUCAAAGAAAUUCUCGAAUGUUCUCACCUAUUAACAGUUAUUAAAAUGGAAGAAGCUGGGGAUGAAAUUGUGAGCAAUGCCAUCUCCUACGCUCUAUACAAAGCCUUCAGCACCAAUGAGCAAGACAAGGAUAACUGGAAUGGGCAGCUGAAGCUUCUGCUGGAGUGGAACCAGCUGGACUUAGCCAAUGAUGAGAUUUUCACCAAUGACCGCCGAUGGGAGUCUGCUGACCUUCAAGAAGUCAUGUUUACAGCUCUCAUAAAGGACAGACCCAAGUUUGUCCGCCUCUUUCUGGAGAAUGGCUUGAACCUGCGGAAGUUUCUCACCCACGAUGUCCUCACUGAGCUCUUCUCCAACCACUUCAGCACCCU
Molecule: small RNA, 579 nt
Filed under: Pongo abelii (Sumatran orangutan)
Lineage: Eukaryota; Metazoa; Chordata; Mammalia; Primates; Hominidae
Description: retained intron
Source: RNAcentral